RNAcentral lists this long non-coding RNA (512 nucleotides) under Bos taurus (domestic cattle). RNAcentral describes it as "long non-coding RNA NONBTAT014094". The record is from RNAcentral. Lineage: Eukaryota; Metazoa; Chordata; Mammalia; Artiodactyla; Bovidae.
CCACUCAUAUAUCCAUAAGCCAGAAAACAGCAUAGCUCUCUGGCUUUUUCACUUUUAGUUUCUCAACAUAUAAAGAAAUCCAGAUCAGCAUGAGUGCUGGGGGAAUGAUUUAGGAACACGAUGAGGGCAGCCUGUUUUGAAAGGACCAGGCGAAGGCACUAGUUAAAACACUGUCCAGUUCUCUGCUCUUCCCGUGAAAUGUCCCUUGAACGGGCCUCCUCUUCCCCGUUGGGCGUGUGUGACUGUUGGAGCCCUCCACCCCCGUGUGCACGACUGCCCCGUCCCCUGGCUCAGGUGUGCCCAUCGCGGCGUCAUCAGACGCCCCUUGUCUGUGUCACCUCUUCCAGUGGCUCCCCCCCAAGUUGUCUGCCGUGAGAUCUGAACUCUGCCCGUGCCCAGAGCCCUGUCCUAUCUGACCCAUUGAUCUCCGUAGCCUUACCUCUUAACCAACAGAUGAAACAAGCCCUUUCUUCUACUUAGAUGGACCUCUCACACACAGGAUACCAUUCCCG